UGCCAGCAGCCGCGGUAAUACGAAGGUGGCAAGCGUUAUUCGGAAUCACUGGGCAUAAAGGGCCCGCAGGCGGUCUGGUCAGUUGGUAGUGAAAGCUUCCGGCUCAACCGGGGAAUUGCUAUCAAUACUGCUAAACUUGAGUGCUGGAGGGGUGAGUGGAAUUUCUGGUGGAGCGGUGGAAUGCGUAGAUAUCAGAAAGAACGCCGGAGGCGAAAGCGACUCAUUGGACAGCAACUGACGCUGAGGGGCGAAAGCUAGGGUAGCAAACGGGAUUAGAUA
RNAcentral lists this ribosomal RNA (279 nucleotides) under uncultured bacterium. RNAcentral's name for it is "partial 16S ribosomal RNA". It matches the Rfam family "Bacterial small subunit ribosomal RNA", at positions 506 to 784 of the family's 1533-position model. The record is from RNAcentral.